RNAcentral lists this ribosomal RNA (253 nucleotides) under uncultured bacterium. Its description in RNAcentral is "partial 16S ribosomal RNA". It matches the Rfam family "Bacterial small subunit ribosomal RNA", at positions 524 to 776 of the family's 1533-position model. The record is from RNAcentral.
UACAGAGGGUGCAAGCGUUAAUCGGAAUUACUGGGCGUAAAGGGCGCGUAGGCGGUUGAAUGAGUCGGUUGUGAAAUCCCCGGGCUUAACCUGGGAACUGCAAUUGAUACUGUUUAGCUAGAGUCGAAGAGAGGGGAGCGGAAUUUCCGGUGUAGCGGUGAAAUGCGUAGAUAUCGGAAGGAACAUCAGUGGCGAAGGCGGCUCCCUGGCUUCAGACUGACGCUGAGGCGCGAAAGCGUGGGUAGCGAACAGG